RNAcentral lists this long non-coding RNA (2883 nucleotides) under Olea europaea subsp. europaea. The record is from RNAcentral. Lineage: Eukaryota; Viridiplantae; Streptophyta; Magnoliopsida; Lamiales; Oleaceae.
UUUGGUUUUCAUGUCUAUUUUUCCGGAGUAGGGUGAGGGAAGGGUCUAUUAAAAUUACAAUAUCAAAUAAGGACAGAAACAAAUCCAUCAUUUCUGUUUUUAAAGGUAGACAUCUAUGUUUGAUUAUGCAAGGCUAUGGCUUUCUCACAGUAGUAAUAAAAAUAGAAUAUCUUCCGAUUUAAUCAAGGCAUACGUGCAAAACCGAAGUUUACUGCCAAAGAGUUAAAAUUAUUGUAUGUAAGACAUAAAACAGAUGCGUGGAAUGAAACAACUCACUUGAUUCAUGUGCUGAUAAAAACCAUAAUCCUUCAGAAGGAGCCAACAAAGAUUUCACAACAUAGGAACCACGGAAGUUGUUGAAGAGCAUGACUGUUCACUGUCAACCUAAGCCAGGCAUCCAACAAAGCAGCUAGUAAAAGAUUCUGAAUGAUCAUGGUCUACCAAAGUUUACCUAGUGACUAAUCAGUUUCUUUCUGAACUACAAUACUGAGAGAUGCAGUGAACACCUAAUUACUCAGAGGUUAGGCGUCGCCUCUUCCCAUAUUCAGCAUCCCUUGAUCUUGACCUAUGCUCGUCCUCAUGUGAUUGUCUUGAUUUUCCGUGAGUCCUGGAUGAUCUUACCCUGUCCCAUUCGUCAUCGUAUUCAGGCUCACGGUCCCUGUACCUAUGAUGAUCAGCAUAUCCAACUCUGUCAUCCCGAUGGCGAUCAUGGUCACGUUCCCUCCCACGAUCACGCUCGCGGCCUCGGGAAUGACCAGGAUCUCGGUCCCGGUCCCUCUCCCUGUCUCGUCCACCAACACUGCCAUCGCGAUGCCUCCUUUCUGACCACUCAUGAUCAUGCCCCGUAUCUUUUUCUCGAGGCAUAUCUCUGUCAUGGCCUGGUUCUCUAUCAUCUCGAUACCUCCUGUCUGAAGAGCCAGACCUAUCCCUUUCUGAACCUCUGUCCUUCUCUUUUGUAGCAUUUGUCCAAGGCCCUUUAUCAUGACUUCCUUCUCCAUACUGAUGGUCAGAUGCAGCUUCUUCUCCAUAACUAGACUCUCCUGCUCUCCCACCAUGCUCCCCACCUGUCCAUCCACCCAUGUUAGGAUCUGACCACGUGCCCAUAUUAGGCCCAUCAAAUCCAGGAGCAUGCAUCAUGCCCAUGCUAUUCAUGGGCAUCCCUCUCCCAAAAAAUGCCGGAUUCACGUGGGGAGCAACACCAGGCAAACCAACAUUUCCAACAGGUCCAAAUGAAGAUAACAUUCCUGAAAAGGGUGGGGUAGGCGCACCAGGAAAUCCUCCAUAACUACCCAUUCGCCCCAUGGGGGCUCCAAAAGCAGGAUCGAAUCCCUGACCCAUCAUUGUUUGAGGAUGUAAUAAUGAAGGAGUUGCACCAAUCCCCUGCGCAAAUCCAUUACCGUUUCCCAUUAAACCACGACCACCUAUUCCACCACCCCUGUUCCUCAUUGGACCCACAGGCCCCCUAUUUCCCAUACCUCCUUGACCAUUACCUCUACCCCAACUCCCUCUCCCAAAACCUCUGUGACCAUCACCACCGCCUUGAUAGUUCCCACUCAUAGCCAUGUUGCCACCUCCGCCAUGUUUACCAGGCACAUCUCCAGGCCCCCUUCGCGGUUGAUUAACCGCUGGCUGGGCUGCAUUUUGGUUUCUAUUUAACUGAGCUUCACCCAUUUUCUUAAUACUAUAGGGCGAAGCAUAUGCAACUACACAUGGCCGUCCAUUAAACAAAUGCCCAUUCAUUCCUUCUUUACAGGCAGUGGCACUAUCAGGGUUAAAAAAUUCCACCUGACAGUAACCUUUUGACUUCCCACUAGCUUUCUCAUCAAAAAACUUUACCUCCUUUACUGGCCCAUACUUGCUUAGCUCUUCCUCCAGCUCAGCAUCAGUUGUCCACCAAUGCAAAUCACCAACAAAAAGAAUUGUUCCUCCACCACCACCACCUGUCAUGCUGCCAACACCACUUCCAGGCAUGUAACCUCCGGUCCCUGUCACAUUCGCCACAAUUCCAACAUUUGCUGGGCUUGCUGCAGCUCCGAUAUUAGCAGCACGUGGCUGCUGAUGCUGAACCAUUGGUGGAUUAUUUUGAGCACUGUUAUUCACAGUCUGCUCUACGAACUCGGCUGGUUUAUUGGAUGACUGCUUUAGCUCAACCCUGAGCCCCCCAACACAUGGCAUCCCGGAUUCAUUUCUAGCCGUCACUCCCAAACCUCUACCAGCCCCAAUCUCAUUACUGAUGUCAUUUCCCCUAAACCCUAUAUUCUGAUGAGCCUCUACUCUAACAGGAACCCUUGCCGACUCUCCCUCGUCUUGUAUAGCCCCACCCGCACUCCUCACUACCGGCUGUGGUGCUUGACGCAGAGGAGGAACCGGCUCGGCUUUGUUCUCCGAUAAUUGCUCAUUUCCCUGACCUAGAUUAUCCUCGUUCUUUCUGAUCGACUGGAGGAAGUUCUCACCAAUAUUAACAUCAUUAUACAGAUCUUCGUAGUCAUCUUCCUCUUCGCCAAGGAAACCCUCGUCAGCUACAGCGGAGAUGGCUUCGUUCCGAUGAAACUGCUCGCCAGCUUCAUUUUCAUCCAUUUCUCCGCUGAAAGCCUAGAAUUAAGCCUAGGGUUUUUCCUAUUUUGGCAAAUUUAUUUCUAUUUGAAAGUGGGUCCGCGGAACAAUCUCAAAGUCUUCAUAAAUAAUCGAGGAAAGCAAAGAAAUUUCUAGAUCGGUUUUAAGAGAUCUUACCGCAAAACUUGCCCUCUUUGAUUAGGCGUGUUGAGCGAGAAGAAACCCUAUCCCAGAACAGUGUAUGGUGAGCCACUUUUAACCAUUUCAGCUUAGGUGCCUGCAUUUACCCUCAAGAAGAAUUUGAAUAGGGGCGAGCCCAGCAGACCAGUG